UCCCUUGUUCUUCUGCACCUAAGUCUGUUGAUUAUAUUUUCAUAGAGUGCUCGUUUGCUACUCAUAUCUAGUCUCUAUUCAUGCAUCCUGGCUUGUUGUUCAUUUGCCCAAAAUUUACCGUUCGAUAUGUUGGAGCUAACUUGUCUUGUUAUUUAGUUUUUGAGGAAGGAAAUGAAAUAAUAUGAUCAAAGCGAUUCUCCCCAUAGUUUAUUUUCUCACAAGAGGUAUCUGUUCACACAGGCGAUAUAGUACCACCAGCAAAAUGUUUCCAACCAGGUUCAGAAGAGGCCUUGCUUAGGAGUUUGGUGGUUGGUG
Molecule: long non-coding RNA, 315 nt
Filed under: Manihot esculenta (cassava)
Lineage: Eukaryota; Viridiplantae; Streptophyta; Magnoliopsida; Malpighiales; Euphorbiaceae
Description: long non-coding RNA (MESC_LNC002144)
Source: RNAcentral